UACGAGGGGGGCAAGCGUUGUUCGGAAUUAUUGGGCGUAAAGGGCGCGUAGGCGGUUUGACAAGUCUGAUGUGAAAUCCCUCGGCUUAACCGGGGAACUGCGUCUGAUACUGGAUGGCUUGAGAUUGGGAGAGGGAUGCGGAAUUCCAGGUGUAGCGGUGAAAUGCGUAGAUAUCUGGAGGAACACCGGUGGCGAAGGCGGCUCUCUGGGCAAUGACCGACGCUGAGGCGCGAAGGCGUGGGAAGCAAACAGG
This 253-nucleotide ribosomal RNA is filed under the name uncultured bacterium. RNAcentral describes it as "partial 16S ribosomal RNA". It matches the Rfam family "Bacterial small subunit ribosomal RNA", at positions 524 to 776 of the family's 1533-position model. The record is from RNAcentral.